AUGGGAGCCGGGGGGUUGGCCCGGGAAGGCCUGGGGCUCCCGUCUCCCGGCCUCGGACCCGGCGCUCAGUCUGCGCGGAGGAAGCCUGGCAGGGAGCUGCGGGCAGGAAGCGGGGCUGGGGGCGGCAGGGACACGCAGCUCCACGCCGGCGCCGCUCUGGGCCCCCUCCUCCUCCUCCUCCAUCGCUCCAUCCCAAAGCGGGUCGCCGUGAGCCUUGCUCGAUUCUCUCUCUCUCUAAACACGUUCUGUCAGGGACUCGUCUCUGGCUCUGCAAACCGUGAGCUAAAGGGGCUGAUCGGGGAGGCGCGGGGGUUUCUCUCCUGGCAGAAGGAAGGAAAGGGCUUGGACUGGAAUGGACGGCCCUUGCGGGAGCCCAGGCUUCGGUGCUUCUGGAGGUGGCAGGGAGGAGGAGGAAGAGGAGGUCUGGGCAAGCGGGACGAGCCUGAUAUGGCCAGCAGUCUGCUCUUUGGCCACCCCAGAGCACAGAACCUCUUUUCAGGAAAAUUGUGACUGCCUUAGGUAAGUUGUGGGAGAGAGAAGGGAAAUGGGGUAAACAGAUAAAGGAUGUAAGUGAGAAGGAGUGAAGGGAUGGAACGAGAGAGUAUAAAGAAAGGCUGGUGCAAAAGAGCAUUUGGGAGCAAGAUGAGCUAAGUUGCUUGUUGAGGUUUGGGGGUAUGGAAGAAACAGGUUUGAAGGAUUGUCUUGUGGGGCAUGGAUAGAGACAAUGGACGGGAUGAAGAAAAUUGAAAGUUAGAGACUGAAGUGAAAAUCUGUAAUGUAGGCAGAGGAAGAGUGACUUUGUAGAGCAGUUGCAUUGUGGAGGAGUAAAAAACUGAGGAGCUGGUUACAGAAAUGAAAGCUGUUAAUAUCAGUGUAAGUAUCAGGAUGCCAUAUCAUGGGAAGAAUGUAAAUGCUGGAUCAUUGUUGAAUUCUGCAGAUUUGCCAGUUUUAUCAUUUAGAUCCCCAAAAGCACUGUGUCCCUUCAGGGAGAGAGGGUGGGUUAUAAAUAAAGUUUUAUUAUUAUUAUUAUUAUAUUAUAUUAUAUUGAAAUAAUCAGACCAGGUUCUAAAGAACUUUUUUUUUUUAUUUCAGGGCCCCUGGUUUUUCUCCUGUGAAGUGAUGUCAGACACCAGCAAAUAAAUCAUGCUUUGACCAGAAAUGUUGUAAUAAAGUGCUGUGAAAGAUGUGAAUCCUGUUCUUGGCAAGAAAAACACAAAGAAAGAUUUCCACAGGAAAACUAGUAUUUUCUUAUGUUUAUUGUCGUAAAAAGGAUGGAGUUAUGUAGUGUGUGUGUUUUAAGUUGCCUGUCAAGUUAGGACAGCUACAUAAAUUAAAUAAGAACCAGGUGGUUUGAAUCCUGGAGUCUGCUUCUGGAAACCAGGAUUCAAAUUUUCAUUCAGCCAAGGAAACUCACUGGGUGACAUUGGGUUCAAAUUCGGUGGGCGGGAUGAGUUCCCAUCUGUCAGCUCCAGCUUCCCAUACAGGGACAUGAGAGAAGCCUCCCACAGGAUGGUAAAACAUCUGGGUGUCCCCUGGGCAAUGUCCUUGCAGACAGCCAAUUCUCUCACACGAGAAGCAAGUUGCAGUUUCUCAAGUCGCUCCUGACACACAAAAACAUUGGGCAGGACACAGUCUCUCAGCCUCAGAGAGGGCAAAGGCAACCUUCCUCUGAAUAAAUCUUGCAAAUAAUAACUCUUGGUGGGUUAAUUUUCUGUCUCCAUAAGUCAGAAAUGCCUUGAACACACAGAAUAAAAAUGAAAGCAUGCCAUAUAACCCAGAAUAUCAAGGCAGAAAAAUCCCCCAAUAUCUGCUUUGAACGGGGUUAUCUGAGUCCACACUACCAUAUAUCCUAGUUCAAAGCAGAUCAUGUGGGAUUUUAUUCAGCUGUGUGGAAGGGGCCUAAGAGGUGGUUUUGCCAGUUUGAAAUAAGGCCUCCAGCCCCUGGCAUUCAUUGGCAGUCUCCCAUCUAAGUGCUCAUAUAUGACAUUUUAACAGAGCUUUUUCCCAGGACAAGUGAAUGAAGGGAGUAUUCACCCCCCCCCCCCUUUACUAGGAAAUGUAUCAACAUUGUAUUUGGAAAUUUACCAAAUGCUUUUGUCUACAAUAUAAUCCAGUAUGCUUAUAGCUGGUUACUGUUACAUUAACAUUUUUCUUCUGCUGUCCUAAUCAGAUAUACACAAUUGUGACAUUUUUAAUACUUUGCAACAUUUUAAAGGACUUAUUUAUUACAUGGAUGAAGAUGGAUGAAGCAUGCCUUAAAAAUAAAGGAAUAGAAGGGGGAGGUAAAAAAAACAUUUAACACAAUAAGAAAUGAUGAUACACUUUCUGUGGAAGCUAUUUGUGAAUCUGGCAUUGCUGUGUCCAAAAUGAAAAAUGUUUUCUGGGCUUGUGCGCAAUAAAGAUUUAUUUGGCAAAUAUGGUGUGAUAUCAUCUGCAAAGGACCCUUCAACAUGGAUCCUUUAUCUUGAAGGGAGAGGGGAGAAUCAGCUUCGUGGUGGCUGAAUGAUACAUGGAUUUGGGUUAACACAGUUCAAAAACAUCAACAAAAGUUGUUUCCCUGCAUUUUGGGUGACUAAAUAGUUCUGUCACUUCCUAUUCAGGACUUGGCUGUGGCUGCUUACAGGGCCAUCCCACUUUCCCUGGGCUCAGGCAGCCUAGGGAUAGGGGACAGCACUUACCUUGUCCCAUUGUUUUUGAGUGGUAUCCACCAGACACAAAGAUGGCAUUUCAUCACUUGGCACCUAGAGUGAUGUUAUCUGGAAUGAUAAGGUGAUCAGAGAAGGAAAGAAUGAAAGGAGGGGGUGAUUCUUUCGGUCCCCUGUUCUCCUUGCAUUGCUUUGCCAAUCUGGGUAUCAUUGCUACAGGUGCCAAGCACUGUUCAGUGUCAUUUUCAUGCCCAGCUGGCAGUGCAUAGCACAGAACAAUGUGCACAAGAUAAGGAUGAUGGUCCGGUAGGAAUGAACAAGGUCUGCACUGCUUCACCAUGUAGCCACCAGGCUGCCUCAGAAAGGUGCAGUGCCUGAACCAAGUCCAUGGCUAGCUAUGUGGAUUAAAAUGAUGCUGAUGCAGAGUAUCCCACUCCAGUUCAGUAUCACCAUAAAUGCAGUCUUAGUAAUGAAUCCAGAAUUAAUUAAACCCACUAGAUAAGUUUUUACAAAUCUACCUAACUUUACCUCUGAGUAAGGUAAAGGAGAUCCCCCAUCUGAACGAAUUCUGUAAAAAAAAACCCCGUGGUCGAUUUUCCUUAUAAUCUGAAGUGAUGUGAAGACACAGAACAACAAUAUGAGUGAAUACAGAGCAGUCACAGAACCAUAACUCUAGGUUACAAAUGCAUAAGUACAAUACAGAAUGCCAGUCCGAAUUUGCACAAUUUCAUAACCAUUGGCUGCACACAGCUAAUGGAUGUUCUAAACUUUUCUAGUCUCAAAUUAUGGGCACAAAAAAGUAUCCUGGUCCAGAGUAUUAUGUUCCGUAUGUGAGAGAGAGUGGUUUUCGAGCACAGGAGAGGUUGCAGAUUUGAGAGAUGCUUGAUAGCUACUAGCACAGACUUGAAUUGAGGAGGCUUCCAAGAAUAUGUUCAUAACAACUGGCCAAAAUACAAUGUGCAGUUAUUCUAUCUCUUCCCUCCUUAAUAUAAAUACUUUUCUGUUGUAAGACAAAAAUGGAAAAUGAUGUGGGAAAACAGGAGGGCUGUUAAUGGGUUAUUUGGAUCCCCCUACCUGGUGAAAUGUUAUGAAUGAUGAACCAGGAUUGUGCAAUUUAGAAAUUAAAAAAUUCUCUGGAACCACCUUUGGGCUACAUGCAUAUUUUCUGACUCACUGCUGUAACUUCUUUUGUAGUAAAAUAAACAUGAGGAAAACAUGAUAUAACAAUGGACAGUACGUUGUACAUGAAAUCAAAAUGCAAGGAGGAAUAUAUUUCAUAUAUAGUGACAACAUGUGGAGUCUAUAAUCAGAUUGGCAUGAUUUUUGAACAGGGGGCAUAUCAAACCGUUGUGCUCCAAAUGCAAAAGGGUUAGAAUCUCUGAGGAUGUAGGGAGAUGAAUGUUUGGCAGAAUCGGUUAUCUCUACGGAGGUAAGUAUUCAAAGCUGAAGCAAAUUAGAUGUACUAGAUUUAAAUGCACUAGACUAUGAAUGUAUACUUUAACUCCCUUGCCUGCAGAUUUGAUAUCCAUGCUUUUACGUACCACUUCUGCACAAAAAAAAAAGCCCAGAAAUAUUUGUGGGCUUCUCUAGAUUCUCCAGUGCUAUUCUAUGAUCUGACUUAGGUAUAAUCAAAAUAUUGCGUUCUCUAUUAUCCAUGGUUUCAGGUAUCCAUAGGAAUUAGAAGGUGAUCGUGGAAUCUACCCCUACAGAAGCAGGGGUCAUACAAUAUAUCUGACUUUGACACGGGACAAUCAGAGCUUUAGAGGAUAUUUUAAUUCUGUAAAUAAUUUUGUUAGUUUGCGGUGAUUUUUUGGGCUGUAUGGCCAUAUUCCAGUAGCAUUUCACCUGCAUCUGUGACUGGCAUCUUGAACAUGCUAGCCACAGAUGCAAGCAUAAUGUCAGGAGAGAAUGCUACUGGAACAUGGCCAUACAGCCCGAAAAACUCACAGCAACCUAGUGAUUUCUGCCAUGAAAGCCUUCGACACCACAAUAAUUUUGUUGUAUAGGGCCUUCAAAACCCACAGUUCACAAUAUGAUUGCUUUGCUUUCCUUUGGCACAUGAUGAGGGAGCCCAGAUCUGUAGAUAUGCUUGCUCUCAGUCAUGGGAAAUUGGCAAUGCUGAUGGUGAUGUAGCAUGACACAAUGCAGGUGCAAGGUCCUCUGUGAAGGUGUUCCUUUGACAGCAGAGAUGAUGUUGGGAAAGAUAAAUAUCAGAAAGGUGCAAAAUCCCAGAAUAUAGUACACAGAUGUUAUUUUUCAAUCCAGUGCCCUCCCCAAAAGCAGGAGGGACUGAGCUCCCUCAAAAUGAUCUGUAAAAAAGUGCCUCGAAGAUUUGUAUAUACUUGAGACUUUUUAGGCUCAGCUGUUAUUAUUUAACCCCUCUAGAAAUAAGAGUCUGACCUAAGCUUGGCUAGCCUAAGCUACCUAGAGCACACGUAGAGAGCUUCUAAGUACACAUUAUAUUUUGCAAGAGUCUACAUGUUUCAGAAUGUUUGCUGGGAAAAACAUUAAUUUGCACAUGUCCUGUAAGUACCUGCUAGUAGGCAAAGUUAAUAACCUAUGCCAAUGUUUGCCCUCUUCACCUUAAAAACAAUUCAGGAGGCUCUGCCUGAUGCCUACUGAUUUAUUAACUUGUAUUCCAUUUAAUAGAACAUGCAGCACUGCUUCCGGAUGUCUUCCUUUAUGUACAUUGUAUGAUUUUCCCAAAGUGGCUUCUGGGACACAAGGCAGAAAUAGAGCAAGGGUAGGG
Anolis carolinensis (green anole) is the source of this 5394-nucleotide long non-coding RNA. NCBI's taxonomy places the organism in Eukaryota, Metazoa, Chordata, Lepidosauria, Squamata, Anolidae. The record is from Ensembl.